GGCGGAUGUAGCCAAGUGGAUCAAGGCAGUGGAUUUGAAUCCACAUGCGCG
This 51-nucleotide transfer RNA is filed under the name Inga punctata. Its description in RNAcentral is "partial tRNA-His". Lineage: Eukaryota; Viridiplantae; Streptophyta; Magnoliopsida; Fabales; Fabaceae. The record is from RNAcentral.